This is a non-coding RNA of Bos taurus (domestic cattle), 72 nucleotides long. NCBI's taxonomy places the organism in Eukaryota, Metazoa, Chordata, Mammalia, Artiodactyla, Bovidae. The record is from Rfam.
UCCCUGGUGGCUCAGAGGUUAAAGCGUCUGCCUGCAAUGCGAGAGACCUAGGUUCGAUCCCUGGGUCGGGAA